GGGGGCAUAGCUCAGUUGGGAGAGCAACAGACUGAAGUGAUUAUGUUAUGUCAGAUAGCGUAAGUCUUCUGGAGGUCCCCAGUUCAAUCCUGGGUGCCCUCA
This 102-nucleotide transfer RNA is filed under the name Armillaria solidipes. It matches the Rfam family "tRNA". Rfam says of the family: Transfer RNA (tRNA) molecules are approximately 80 nucleotides in length. Their secondary structure includes four short double-helical elements and three loops (D, anti-codon, and T loops). Further hydrogen bonds mediate the characteristic L-shaped molecular structure. tRNAs have two regions of fundamental functional importance: the anti-codon, which is responsible for specific mRNA codon recognition, and the 3' end, to which the tRNAs corresponding amino acid is attached (by aminoacyl-tRNA synthetases). tRNAs cope with the degeneracy of the genetic code in two manners: having more than one tRNA (with a specific anti-codon) for a particular amino acid; and 'wobble' base-pairing, i.e. permitting non-standard base-pairing at the 3rd anti-codon position. Lineage: Eukaryota; Fungi; Basidiomycota; Agaricomycetes; Agaricales; Physalacriaceae. The record is from Rfam by way of RNAcentral.